RNAcentral lists this long non-coding RNA (209 nucleotides) under Elaeis guineensis (African oil palm). RNAcentral's name for it is "long non-coding RNA (EGUI_LNC056180)". Lineage: Eukaryota; Viridiplantae; Streptophyta; Magnoliopsida; Arecales; Arecaceae. The record is from RNAcentral.
GCCGCUUAUUGUUGGAGCUCGAUUGAAGAUCGGUUGUCGCGAGAGCUCGGAGUAACGACCUGGCUGGUGGAUCCUGCCCCAUGGUAGAAGCUCGUCUGGGAUCCGGCUAUGAAGAAGCUCGGCUGAAGGCUACCUGUAAUGGAAGUUUGAAAGAAAUCUGUUUACAGUAGAGGCCCGCAUGGAAUUUGCUUACAGUAGAGAUCCGGGGU